UACUGGUGUAACAUACCAGAUUUUUGUAUAAAAAUAAAAAUAAAUAAAAAUAGUUUAGGAUACUAUUUUUAUUGGAUUUAGAGAAGUAAAAUAUAAGUCAGAAAUGACUUGUACUGAAAUCGGAAUGAAAACAGAAAAUUUAAAAUUUUCUGUUGGAAACGGGACAAAUAAAUUAGCAGAAAAUGCACAGUGUCAGAAAAUUAUGAAAACUGGAGGAUAAGUCAAAAUUAUUUUUAUGAGGAUAGAUUUAAAGUUUCAUGCCAUUCUGACACCCGGAAGGUGAAAAAUAAAAUCCGACAGUUAUCUGAUAAAAAUUACAGUUCGGUACAGAUUUCGAUGACCAAACGGGGUCAAAAUUGAAAGAUUAAAAUUUCUUUCGUUAAGUUAAGUAAAACCGAAUAUGACUGUCAAAUUUGAGCUCAAACGGAUAUUCAGGGAGCUUCGGCGAAAGAUAUCAGAUUUCGAACUGCCCGGAGAUGAAUAGUGUUUUGAGGGUGUUAAUUAAAGAAGCCUUG
RNAcentral lists this long non-coding RNA (515 nucleotides) under Ananas comosus (pineapple). RNAcentral describes it as "long non-coding RNA (ACOM_LNC038059)". The record is from RNAcentral. Lineage: Eukaryota; Viridiplantae; Streptophyta; Magnoliopsida; Poales; Bromeliaceae.